RNAcentral lists this ribosomal RNA (434 nucleotides) under Escherichia coli. Its description in RNAcentral is "bacterial SSU rRNA". It matches the Rfam family "Bacterial small subunit ribosomal RNA", at positions 866 to 1300 of the family's 1533-position model. Lineage: Bacteria; Pseudomonadati; Pseudomonadota; Gammaproteobacteria; Enterobacterales; Enterobacteriaceae. The record is from RNAcentral.
CGACCGCCUGGGGAGUACGGCCGCAAGGUUAAAACUCAAAUGAAUUGACGGGGGCCCGCACAAGCGGUGGAGCAUGGGGUUUAAUUCGAUGCAACGCGAAGAACCUUACCUGGUCUUGACAUCCACAGAACCUUGUAGAGAUACGAGGGUGCCUUCGGGAACUGUGAGACAGGUGCUGCAUGGCUGUCGUCAGCUCGUGUUGUGAAAUGUUGGGUUAAGUCCCGCAACGAGCGCAACCCUUAUCCUUUGUUGCCAGCGGUCCGGCCGGGAACUCAAAGGAGACUGCCAGUGAUAAACUGGAGGAAGGUGGGGAUGACGUCAAGUCAUCAUGGCCCUUACGACCAGGGCUACACACGUGCUACAAUGGCGCAUACAAAGAGAAGCGACCUCGCGAGAGCAAGCGGACCUCAUAAAGUGCGUCAUAGUCCGGAUUG